UUCUCGGUUGAGGAUGCAUCGAUGGAAGCUAAAGAGUUGGCAGAUGCAGACCGUCGAUUUCAACAACCAUCAUAAUAACUUGGAUUUUGUGCACUAUUUUGUGGGUUGGGGCUAUUUUUGAAAUAUUGAAGAGGAUCUUAAUUUAAUCAGUGGUUGUUCCACCUAUUGUUGUUGCUGCUGGUUGAGAUGGAUGUCCGAGUUUGGAGCUUCGAGAUACAAUUUAGGUGAGCAUUAGGUGAGUCUCUAUCUUGACUCCUGCAUGUGUAUUGUUCCAAUUGAAGUGUAUAUAUGCUAAAAAUAUUCAAAUGACUGAUAAUGGUGUAAAUGAUGUAUGGUAAAAUUUUUGCAUGUGUAAUGAUAAUAUGUAAAAAGUAUGUCUAGAUAGAAAGUAAGUGGUGAUUAUGCAGGUAAAGUUUGAUAAGAAAAACUAUGAAUCAACUAGGUGUGUGACCAAAUCUGGGUAAGUAAAUUCUAGGUAAAACGUCCCUUGUGAUGCCUCUGGUAGGGCAUGUAUACUGCUAACCAGACUAACAGAUCACGGUAUGAAAAUAAGUGCAAGACCAUAUGGUUGAGACCCAUGACAAUGUAUGAUAUGAAAACACUGAUGGUGAUGCCUCCAGUAAGAUAAAUGUUGGACUGGCAGAUCACUACAUGAAAAUGGGUAAGUCCAUGUGGCUGAGACCCAUGGUAAGAUAUGACUGUAUGAAUGUUCAUGGUGAUGCCUUCUGUAAUGUGUAGAUCGAACUAGAAGAUCACGACAUAAAUUUAUUUAUAAGUCCAUUAGAGAGAAACCCAUGGCACCUUCUGUGAAAGUCUACCGGGACAUUAAACACAUGAUUCCAUAUGUUUGCCUAUGUGGCGUGAUCUACUAAGCCUUUGUGGUAAGUUCUGUAUCAUCUUAUUUGUUUAUUCGAUGAUAUCUAUGUGAUAGAAUGUGAUUAUCCGCCCUUGUUGUAAGUUCUGAGAAUUCUUUGAUAGAUAAGUUUAUGAUAAGGUUUUGAUAUGUCUGAAGUUAAAUUUGGUUGAAUUAGUUCUAUGAUGUAAUCGAAUAAGUCUUAAGGGAAGUUUCUUUAAAAGAAGUGUGUAUUUGUAUGUUCAAAUACAAUAUCCACCAUAGUAAUCUAUUAGUUUAGAAUAUGGGCAUAUUUGUAGAUAUGAAAGAGAUAAGUAUUUAUCGGUUUAAGUUCGCCUGCGAUAAAUAGAAUUGAAAUUUGUGUCAAUUGGUAUGUGCCAUACCUAAAUAGCAUCAUGUCUCAAUUUGAAAUCGUAUGAAAUUUGAGUUGUUUUUUUAUCUUGGGUUUUCUUGUGUUUUGUAACAAAGAUGUGUAAAAUUCUUCUCAAUGAUCUGGACAAUUCAUUAUCAGUAUAAGUAUAUGUUGUGUUUGGACUAGGUUAUGAUUUGUUUAGUAUUUGAUAUUAUUGAACUCAGCCUGGGAAUCCAUCAAACAUGAAUCUAUAUAAUAAGUAUUCACCCGUGAACAGUAACUGUGAUAAACUAUUCUGGGAAAAUGUUAAGUGUUAGUUUGAAGACAAAAAUCGUAAGAAAUGAACUUUGUAGAAGUAUUCCUUCGAGAAGUAUCUUUGGGGUUAUAUGAAUAAAAUGAUAGUGGAAUAUUAUCUAGUAAGAUCAGAAAUCAACCAUAAAGUGAAGUGAAAACUGAUACGUUAAGAAUGACUAUUAUGUCCAAAUGUUCUGAAGGUGUCUGCCAAAACAUGAAUGAUAGGUUAAGUAUGGAAAUAGGCGUACAAGCACGCAGAAGAUAUUACAACAGUAUUCGCCAAGGUGUUUUAUAUUAAAGUUCACUAAGUUCUUGUAACUUACAAGUGUUAUGUUUAUGCUUUAGGUGUUAUGGUAAAACUGAAUAUGCUAGGAGGGAUGAUGCCAGGAAUACGCCAAGGAAGUGGUGGUUCGGAUUAUUAUGCAUACAGUGGACUAUUUGGAAAAGUGACAUAUUGUAGGAUUAUGCCAUAGAGAGUCUGUCUUUAGUAAAUUUUUGUGUUGAAAUAAGUUGUAACAAGUCUAAUGUAUUAUUUUAUUUUUAAGUAUUUUCCUUUAUUUCUUUGA
Long non-coding RNA from Gossypium raimondii (Peruvian cotton), 2065 nucleotides. RefSeq lists it as uncharacterized. The transcript is spliced from 2 exons. The record is from RefSeq and is a predicted model, not a curated record. Lineage: Eukaryota; Viridiplantae; Streptophyta; Magnoliopsida; Malvales; Malvaceae.